RNAcentral lists this non-coding RNA (69 nucleotides) under unclassified sequences. Its description in RNAcentral is "Transposase-2 RNA". It matches the Rfam family "Transposase-2 RNA". The record is from Rfam by way of RNAcentral.
GAAGUGCGAACCAAGCUGCGGCGAUAGCCGCGUGAGACUUGGAGCGGGCGAUUGUAAGGUCGUCCUGCG